GUGGGGAAUCUUGCGCAAUGGGCGAAAGCCUGACGCAGCCAUGCCGCGUGAAUGAUGAAGGUCUUAGGAUUGUAAAAUUCUUUCACCGGGGACGAUAAUGACGGUACCCGGAGAAGAAGCUCCGGCUAACUUCGUGCCAGCAGCCGCGGUAAUACGAAGGGGGCUAGCGUUGCUCGGAAUUACUGGGCGUAAAGGGCGCGUAGGCGGACAGCUUAGUCAGAGGUGAAAGCCCAGGGCUCAACCUUGGAAUUGCCUUUGAUACUGGCUGUCUUGAGUUUGGGAGAGGUGAGUGGAACUCCGAGUGUAGAGGUGAAAUUCGUAGAUAUUCGGAAGAACACCAGUGGCGAAGGCGACUCACUGGCCCAAUACUGACGCUGAGGCGCGAAAGCAUGGGGAGCAAACAGGAUUAGAUACCCGAGUAGUCC
This 425-nucleotide ribosomal RNA is filed under the name uncultured bacterium. RNAcentral describes it as "partial 16S ribosomal RNA". It matches the Rfam family "Bacterial small subunit ribosomal RNA", at positions 354 to 796 of the family's 1533-position model. The record is from RNAcentral.